GUCACUGAUGAGUCUUUUGUAGACGAAACGCGCGUCUGGCGUAUAUACUAAAUUUAGUCCUGGUAUCUAUGAUGAGUUUAUUUACAACCACUGGGUCGAUGCCACUGCUGGUGGAGAUUUAUUUCCCCGAGGGUAUCACAAGCCCAGUAGUCAGCACUUUUUGUGCUGACAUGAAUUGUCAUUGAUAUGGUUAUAUUUAUAAAUUUGCUGUUUACAAAUUUUUGAAUAUUUUGAAAUACUAAGGCUUUUCUACCUCAG
RNAcentral lists this long non-coding RNA (258 nucleotides) under Mytilus galloprovincialis (Mediterranean mussel). Lineage: Eukaryota; Metazoa; Mollusca; Bivalvia; Mytilida; Mytilidae. The record is from RNAcentral.